GUCGACCGCUGGCGGCGUGCUUAACACAUGCAAGUCGAACGGAACGGCCCUGCAUUUGUGGGGUGCUCGAGUGGCGAACGGGUGAGUAAAACGAGAGUAACCUGUCCUUGAUUUUGGGGUAACUUACGGAAACUGGGGUUAAUACCGGAUAGGAGCUCCCGCCGCAUGGUGGGGGUUGGACAGUUUCGGCGGUUGGGGAUGGUGUGGCGGUUUAUGAGCUGGUUGGUGGGGUAGUGGCGUACCAAGGAUUUGACGGGUCGUCGGCCUUAGAGGGUGACCGGGCACAAUGGGACUAAGGUACGGACCAGUCGCCUACGGGGGGCAGCAGGGGCGAAUAUUGUACAAUGAUCGGGAGCCGGAGGCAGCAACGCCGCGUGCGGAAUGACGGCCUGCUGGGUGAAAACCGCUGUCGCCUGUGACGAAGCUGGAGUGACGGUAAUGAAUAAAGAAGCACCGGCUAACUACGUG
This 468-nucleotide ribosomal RNA is filed under the name uncultured bacterium. Its description in RNAcentral is "partial 16S ribosomal RNA". It matches the Rfam family "Bacterial small subunit ribosomal RNA", at positions 28 to 507 of the family's 1533-position model. The record is from RNAcentral.